Molecule: non-coding RNA, 71 nt
Organism: Phrynosoma platyrhinos (Desert horned lizard)
Lineage: Eukaryota; Metazoa; Chordata; Lepidosauria; Squamata; Phrynosomatidae
Source: the annotation of a GenBank genome assembly
GUCAAUGUAACAUAAUGGUUUGAGGGUUGGACUGUGACUCUGAAGACCAGGGUUCAAUUCCCUCUUAGCCA